Phasianus colchicus (ring-necked pheasant) is the source of this 1848-nucleotide long non-coding RNA. RefSeq lists it as uncharacterized. Lineage: Eukaryota; Metazoa; Chordata; Aves; Galliformes; Phasianidae. The record is from RefSeq and is a predicted model, not a curated record.
GCCGGCUUGGGCGGCUGGGCUGCUCGCUGCUGCUGACCGACGCUCCGCCCCGCAGCUCGGUUGGCUCCCGGGUUCGGCCUUGGAGUACGUUCGCCAAACGCUUCCUCGCUCUGCUCGUUUCGGUUUCACGCAAACGCCUCAGCCGUCUCUUUGAUUGCUGUGUUUAUUUAUUUGUUAAUCACGAGGGAAGCGUUCGCAGAGAACUGCCAAAGCCCCUGAUGGUGACGUUCUUCGUUCGCGGCCUCUUUGUCCUCAGUGCAGGGCUGCGUGCUGCUGCGCACAUCCUUUAGCGGAGUGAUUUCUACAAUGGGCUCUUCCAGCACCUAGAGACAAUUCUGUAUCAUCACCCAACAGCACUGAAUAUAAUGAAAACAGCCAUGGGAACCUUCAUACAGAACUCCAGAGAAACAUCCAUUUCCAGCCAUGGAGUAAGCCUUGGAAGAAAUUCUGGGAGAAGGAGGAUGUGUAGCAGCUGUCCUUGCUGCGGAAGAAUGAAGAAUCACUACAGUCUUGAUUUGAGGAACAGUUCAGACCAUAUCUUGGGGUUUUAUUUCUGCUUUCCCUUUGAUAAACUUUAGCCUCUGGAGUGCUUGGGGUUUAGGUCCCUGGGACUUUUGUGGUAGGUGCUGCAUCCAGCACGCAAUGCACGCAAAGCACAGUAUAGUUGCUAAAUAGGGGCAAUUAAAUUUAGAAGUUUCUGUAGCCAUGCAGGCACUGACACCCAUCCUUGGUCUUUAUUACACAAAUUAGCUGAGUGAAAUAAAGGAGAUUAUUAAAUAAUUACACACGUGCAUGUGAGUAAAGAGUCUUAAAACAUUGGAAAAAUACGGUUGAAUUUUCCACUGCCCAGCUGUGGGUUUUUCAGCACACGCAUUCUGUCAGAAUCUGGACAUUUUAUUUGCAAAUGCCUGGCCCGCCUGUUAGUGUGAUGUGGAGAUUUUCUCUCUUUCCCUGAUUAUCUGAUUUUGAAUCAGCAAAAUGCUCACUUUUGCCUCGUGCCAUCUGAGUAGAUGAGAAAAGAGAAAGCGGAUGGAGGCAGAAGUUGCACAGUUCUGAGGGACUGCAGUCCCCUACUCUGUGUGCUGGGGCAAAUGUGGGAAAUGGUCUUCACAGAUGUGAGCUGUUGUUUCUGCUUCUGUGGUGUCUUAUUCUUCAGAGACCUGUUGUUUCAGGCAUUCAGCCUCACUGCUUUGCAGUUUCUCUUCCCUUAACAUUUUCUUUCUUGUAAGUAAUCACUUAAUGGCAUGGCAGAGCCCAGGAAAAUCACUGUUAAUAUUAUAAUAACAUAAUCUGCAGCUCUGACUGGUAUCCUUUAGUUUGGGGAAAUAAUGUGUAGUUUUGCCAAAUCUACAAUUGGAAUGGGAAACAUGUAAAGCUCUGGUCAUUUUAUUUUACAGUUUGGAACACCCUGUAUUAAAGGUACUGGAUUUGUAGCAGGGAUGUGUUGUUAAUUAUCAUUAGACCUCUGCUUUUGAUUAAUACUGGUAAUUAGUUUCUGUCCUUGACUUUUUCCAAUUAAGGAGUAGAUGCCUUGGUGCUAAACACCUGGGCAUAUUGUCUAAUUAUAUGAAAGAAACACAUAUUCUCUCUGUAGGUAAUUAUUUUAACUGUCAGUGGUAGUUUUGUACUUAACGGAGGUGGCUCUGUCUCUCUGAGCAACGACACAGGAAGCCUCAAGACACCAGGAAAAAUGCUGCAGAAUGAACAGAGUGCUGGGUGUGAGCUGCUUCCUGCUGGGUAUUUUCUUGACAUGAGAGAAAGAAUCACCCUUCUACUUCUUGCAGAUCUAGGGCUCUGAAAGGAGGAAAUAGAACAAAAUAAAAACCAAAGGAAAGAAAUAUAAGACUG